This 581-nucleotide ribosomal RNA is filed under the name Escherichia coli. Its description in RNAcentral is "partial 23S ribosomal RNA". It matches the Rfam family "Bacterial large subunit ribosomal RNA", at positions 2229 to 2809 of the family's 2925-position model. Lineage: Bacteria; Pseudomonadati; Pseudomonadota; Gammaproteobacteria; Enterobacterales; Enterobacteriaceae. The record is from RNAcentral.
UGACCCGUAAUCCGGGUUGCGGACAGUGUCUGGUGGGUAGUUUGACUGGGGCGGUCUCCUCCUAAAGAGUAACGGAGGAGCACGAAGGUUGGCUAAUCCUGGUCGGACAUCAGGAGGUUAGUGCAAUGGCAUAAGCCAGCUUGACUGCGAGCGUGACGGCGCGAGCAGGUGCGAAAGCAGGUCAUAGUGAUCCGGUGGUUCUGAAUGGAAGGGCCAUCGCUCAACGGAUAAAAGGUACUCCGGGGAUAACAGGCUGAUACCGCCCAAGAGUUCAUAUCGACGGCGGUGUUUGGCACCUCGAUGUCGGCUCAUCACAUCCUGGGGCUGAAGUAGGUCCCAAGGGUAUGGCUGUUCGCCAUUUAAAGUGGUACGCGAGCUGGGUUUAGAACGUCGUGAGACAGUUCGGUCCCUAUCUGCCGUGGGCGCUGGAGAACUGAGGGGGGCUGCUCCUAGUACGAGAGGACCGGAGUGGACGCAUCACUGGUGUUCGGGUUGUCAUGCCAAUGGCACUGCCCGGUAGCUAAAUGCGGAAGAGAUAAGUGCUGAAAGCAUCUAAGCACGAAACUUGCCCCGAGAUGAGU